GAUGAACGCUGGCGGCGUGCCUAAUACAUGCAAGUCGAGCGAACAGAUGAGGAGCUUGCUCCUCUGACGUUAGCGGCGGACGGGUGAGUAACACGUGGUUAACCUACCUAUAAGACUGGGAUAACUUCGGGAAACCGGAGCUAAUACCGGAUAAUAUAUUGAACCGCAUGGUUCAAUAGUGAAAGACGGUUUUGCUGUCACUUAUAGAUGGAUCCGCGCCGCAUUAGCUAGUUGGUAAGGUAACGGCUUACCAAGGCAACGAUGCGUAGCCGACCUGAGAGGGUGAUCGGCCACACUGGAACUGAGACACGGUCCAGACUCCUACGGGAGGCAGCAGUAGGGAAUCUUCCGCAAUGGGCGAAAGCCUGACGGAGCAACGCCGCGUGAGUGAUGAAGGUCUUCGGAUCGUAAAACUCUGUUAUUAGGGAAGAACAAAUGUGUAAGUAACUAUGCACGUCUUGGCGGUACCUAAUCAGAAAGCCACGGCUAACUACGUG
Molecule: ribosomal RNA, 497 nt
Filed under: uncultured bacterium
Lineage: Bacteria
Description: partial 16S ribosomal RNA
Rfam family: Bacterial small subunit ribosomal RNA
Source: RNAcentral